UGGUUAAAAAGCUCGUAGUUGGAUCUCAACAGCCUUGAAGCGGUUAACUUUGUAGUUUUACUGCUUUAUAGGCUGUGCUUUUGCUGGAGGUUUAGGGGUGCUCUUGAUCGAGUGUCUCUGGAUGCCAGCAGGUUUACUUUGAAAAAAUUAGAGUGCUCAAAGCAGGCUAAAAUGCCUGAAUAUUCGUGCAUGGAAUAAUAGAAUAGGAUGUCGAUCCUAUUUUGUUGGUUUUCGGGACUCGACAUAAUGAUAAAUAGGGACAGUCGGGGGCAUUUGUAUUCAAACGACAGAGGUGAAAUUCUUGGACCGUUUGAAGACAAACUACUGCGAAAGCAUUUGCCAAGAAUGUUUUCGUUAAUCAAGAACGAAAGUUAGAGGUUCGAAGGCGAUUAGAUACCGCCCUAGUUCUAACCAUAAACGAUGCCAGCUAGCGAUCUGCCUGCGUUUUUACUGUAGACUGGGCAGGAAGCUUCCGGGAAACCAAAGCAUUUGGGUUCCAGGGGAAGUAUGGU
This 512-nucleotide ribosomal RNA is filed under the name uncultured marine eukaryote. RNAcentral describes it as "SSU rRNA". It matches the Rfam family "Eukaryotic small subunit ribosomal RNA", at positions 616 to 1129 of the family's 1831-position model. The record is from RNAcentral.